This is a long non-coding RNA of Vitis vinifera (wine grape), 306 nucleotides long. RefSeq lists it as uncharacterized. The record is from RefSeq and is a predicted model, not a curated record. The transcript has 2 exons. NCBI's taxonomy places the organism in Eukaryota, Viridiplantae, Streptophyta, Magnoliopsida, Vitales, Vitaceae.
AGAGAGAGAGAGAGAGAGAGAGAAAGAGUAAAGGAUAGCAAGGGAUAGAGUGUUCUACUCCACCAUCUAAGUAUGUGAUGAAAAGUUGCAAAGGAAAUUUGUUUGCUAAAAGAAGAGAAAUCAUUGUGUUAAAGAAGAUGAAGUCAAAAACCAUGAAGAUUAUAUCAGUGAACUCAUUAGGAGGUUGAACUAUGCUUUUAAAGAUUAUGGUUUAUUUUAGUAGUCUUGGUACCAAUGUUUGUUCUUAUGUUAGAAUUAGAAAUUCUUAUUGAAAUAUUUUGAUAUAAUUAACAAGUUUAUGUGUAA